UACGAAGGGGGCUAGCGUUGCUCGGAAUUACUGGGCGUAAAGGGCGCGUAGGCGGACAGUUUAGUCAGGGGUGAAAGCCCAGGGCUCAACCUUGGAACUGCCUUUGAUACUGACUGUCUUGAGUUCGGGAGAGGUGAGUGGAAUGCCGAGUGUAGAGGUGAAAUUCGUAGAUAUUCGGCGGAACACCAGUGGCGAAGGCGACUCACUGGCCCGAUACUGACGCUGAGGCGCGAAAGCGUGGGGAGCAAACAGG
RNAcentral lists this ribosomal RNA (253 nucleotides) under uncultured bacterium. Its description in RNAcentral is "partial 16S ribosomal RNA". It matches the Rfam family "Bacterial small subunit ribosomal RNA", at positions 524 to 776 of the family's 1533-position model. The record is from RNAcentral.